CAGCAGCCACGGUAAUACGUAGGGUGCAAGCGUUAAUCGGAAUUACGGGGCGUAAAGCGUGCGCAGGCGGUUAUAUAAGUCAGAUGUGAAAUCCCCGGGCUCAACCUGGGAACUGCAUUUGAGACUGUAUGGCUAGAGUGUGUCAGAGGGGGGUAGAAUUCCACGUGUAGCAGUGAAAUGCGUAGAUAUGUGGAGGAAUACCGAUGGCGAAGGCAGCCCCCUGGGAUAACACUGACGCUCAUGCACGAAGGCGUGGGGAGCAAACAGGAUUAGAUACCCCGGUAGUCCCUGUCUCUUAUAC
This 301-nucleotide ribosomal RNA is filed under the name uncultured bacterium. Its description in RNAcentral is "partial 16S ribosomal RNA". It matches the Rfam family "Bacterial small subunit ribosomal RNA", at positions 509 to 807 of the family's 1533-position model. The record is from RNAcentral.